RNAcentral lists this ribosomal RNA (411 nucleotides) under bacterium enrichment culture clone ALO1_GLFRUDD03HAH5B. Its description in RNAcentral is "bacterial SSU rRNA". It matches the Rfam family "Bacterial small subunit ribosomal RNA", at positions 9 to 424 of the family's 1533-position model. The record is from RNAcentral.
GAGUUUGAUCUUGGCUCAGAUUGAACGCUGGCGGCAUGCCUUACACAUGCAAGUCGAACGGCAGCACGGGAGCUUGCUCCUGGUGGCGAGUGGCGAACGGGUGAGUAAUGCAUCGGAACGUAUCCUGGAGUGGGGGAUAACGUAGCGAAAGUUACGCUAAUACCGCAUAUUCUGUGAGCAGGAAAGCGGGGGACCUUCGGGCCUCGCGCUCUUGGAGCGGCCGAUGUCGGAUUAGCUAGUUGGUGAGGUAAAGGCUCACCAAGGCGACGAUCCGUAGCAGGUCUGAGAGGAUGAUCUGCCACACUGGAACUGAGACACGGUCCAGACUCCUACGGGAGGCAGCAGUGGGGAUUUUGGACAAUGGGGGCAACCCUGAUCCAGCCAUGCCGCGUGAGUGAAGAAGGCCUGGUU